This 254-nucleotide ribosomal RNA is filed under the name uncultured bacterium. RNAcentral describes it as "partial 16S ribosomal RNA". It matches the Rfam family "Bacterial small subunit ribosomal RNA", at positions 524 to 776 of the family's 1533-position model. The record is from RNAcentral.
UAUGGGGGGGGCAAGCGUUGUUCGGAAUUACUGGGCGUAAAGGGCUCGUAGGUGGCCAACUAAGUCAGACGUGAAAUCCCUCGGCUUAACCGGGGAACUGCGUCUGAUACUGGAUGGCUUGAGUGUGGGAGAGGGAUGCGGAAUUCCAGGUGUAGCGGUGAAAUGCGUAGAUAUCUGGAGGAACACCGGUGGCGAAGGCGGCAUCCUGGGCCACGACUGACGCUGAGUGAGCGAAAGCCAGGGGAGCAAACGGG